UGGGCGUAAAGCGUGCGCAGGCGGCUUGUUAAGUCAGAUGUGAAAUCCCCGGGCUUAACCUGGGAACUGCAUUGAUACUGCCAGGCUUGGAGUGUGGCAGAGGGAGGUGGAAUUCCACGUGUAGCGGUGAAAUGCGUAGAUAUGUGGAGGAACACCGAUGGCGAAGGCAGCCUCCUGGGCCAACACUGACGCUCAUGCACGAAAGCGUGGGGAGCAAACAGGAUUAGAUACCCUGGUAGUCCACGCCCUAAACGAUGUCAACUAGUUGUUGGGGGAGUUCAUUCCCUUAGUACCGUAGCUAACGCGUGAAGUGUACCGCCUGGGGAGUACGGUCGCAAGAUUAAAACUCA
This 350-nucleotide ribosomal RNA is filed under the name uncultured beta proteobacterium. Its description in RNAcentral is "bacterial SSU rRNA". It matches the Rfam family "Bacterial small subunit ribosomal RNA", at positions 555 to 903 of the family's 1533-position model. The record is from RNAcentral. Lineage: Bacteria; Pseudomonadati; Pseudomonadota; Betaproteobacteria.